GGGAGGCAGCAGUGGGGAAUUUUCCGCAAUGGGCGCAAAGCCUGACGGAGCAACGCCGCGCGAGGGACGAAGGCCUUUGGAUUGUAAACCUCUUUUCUCAGGGAAGAAAAUCUGACGGUACUUGAGGAAUCGGCCUCAGCUAACUCCGUGCCAACGGCCGCGGUAAUA
RNAcentral lists this ribosomal RNA (168 nucleotides) under uncultured Microcystis sp. RNAcentral describes it as "partial 16S ribosomal RNA". It matches the Rfam family "Bacterial small subunit ribosomal RNA", at positions 343 to 525 of the family's 1533-position model. Lineage: Bacteria; Bacillati; Cyanobacteriota; Cyanophyceae; Chroococcales; Microcystaceae. The record is from RNAcentral.